AAAGAAACCAACAGGGAUUGCCCUAGUAACGGCGAGUGAAGCGGCAUCAGCUCAAAUUUGAAAUCUGGCUCUUUUAGGGUCCGAGUUGUAAUUUGCAGAGGGCGCUUUGGCGUUGGCAGCGGUCUAAGUUCCUUGGAACAGGACGUCACAGAGGGUGAGAAUCCCGUACGUGGUCGCUAACCUUCGCCGUGUAAAGCCCCUUCGACGAGUCGAGUUGUUUGGGAAUGCAGCUCUAAAUGGGAGGUAAAUUUCUUCUAAAGCUAAAUACUGGCCAGAGACCGAUAGCGCACAAGUAGAGUGAUCGAAAGAUGAAAAGCACUUUGGAAAGAGAGUCAAAUAGCACGUGAAAUUGUUGAAAGGGAAGCGCUUGCAGCCAGACUUGCCUGUAGUUGCUCAUCCGGGCUUUUGCCCGGUGCACUCUUCUGCGGGCAGGCCAGCAUCAGUCUAGGCGGUUGGAUAAAGGCCUCUGUCACGUACCUCCUUUCGGGGAGGCCUUAUAGGGGAGGCGACAUGCAACCAGCCUGGACUGAGGUCCGCGCAUCUGCUAGGAUGCUGGCGUAAUGGCUGUAAGCGGCCCGUCUUGAAACACGGACCAAGGAGUCUAACAUCUAUGCGAGUGUUUGGGUGUCAAGCCCGAACGCGUAAUGAAAGUGAACGGAGGUGGGAUCCCUUUUAGGGUGCACCAUCGACCGAUCCUGAUGUCUUCGGAUGGAUUUGAGUAAGAGCAUGGCUGUUGGGACCCGAAAGAUGGUGAACUAUGCUUGAAUAGGGUGAAGCCAGAGGAAACUCUGGUGGAGGCUCGCAGCGGUUCUGACGUGCAAAUCGAUCGUCAAAUUUGGGCAUAGGGGCGAAAGACUAAUCGAACUAUCUA
Molecule: ribosomal RNA, 871 nt
Filed under: Cucurbitaria lijiangensis
Lineage: Eukaryota; Fungi; Ascomycota; Dothideomycetes; Pleosporales; Cucurbitariaceae
Description: Cucurbitaria sp. GCR-2022a partial large subunit ribosomal RNA
Rfam family: Eukaryotic large subunit ribosomal RNA
Source: RNAcentral